UACGUAGGGUGCGAGCGUUAAUCGGAAUUACUGGGCGUAAAGCGUGCGCAGGCGGUUUUUUAAGACAGGCGUGAAAUCCCCGGGCUUAACCUGGGAAUGGCAUUUGGGACUGCAAGGCUCGAGUGCGGCAGAGGAGACUGGAAUUCCUGGUGUAGCAGUGAAAUGCGUAGAUAAUCAGGAGGAACACCGAUGGCGAAGGCAGGUCUCUGGGCUGACACUGACGCUCAUGCACGAAAGCGUGGGGAGCAAACAAGG
This 255-nucleotide ribosomal RNA is filed under the name uncultured bacterium. Its description in RNAcentral is "partial 16S ribosomal RNA". It matches the Rfam family "Bacterial small subunit ribosomal RNA", at positions 524 to 777 of the family's 1533-position model. The record is from RNAcentral.